UUAGAACUUGGAAAUGAGAGGAAGAAGAAGAAGGUUUUAAUGACCGUUCGAUGAGUUCUGAUCUACAGUUUCCAGUUUCACUCCCAAAAACUCCAUUUUUGCUUCCACUUCCAGUCUCCAUCUCUCUCUUUCCUCUCCCUCUACGGUGAUUUUCUUUCUUGAUUUUCGAGCCAUAUUCUCUAACUUUAAGCUUUCCUCUCUUCCCCUUUCCAUCGCCGUCUUCGUCUUCAACCUCCGUUUAAUCCUGUCACUCAGCCGCCAGGGUUUUUUUAUUUAACGAAGAAUGGAUUUUGCGCGAUGUACUGAUGAAUCAAAGGAAUCAGAAAAUUUAUCUACCAAAUGUUGUAAUAAAGUUGAAGCUCAGCCUGAGAUUGUUGAGCUAAGGGCUCCUCUUGGACCUUCAACACCUGAUGCUGAUAGAGAGAGUGGUGAUUUUCUUUCUGAUUCUAAAUCCCCACUCACUCAGGUUGUGACUAGCAAACCUCUUUCGUUAACUUGUAUAGAUUCUUUGGAUGAGAAGAUUGAAGCCCCCUUAGAGGAUUCUGACUCUUUUGAUCCUCUUUGUAGUCCUCGUACUCCUAAGGAUGGUGUUUUUGAUCCCUUUUCCCCUGGCCCUGCUCAUUUGGCUUUAGCUCCUAUCUCUAGAAAGUGUUUUAAUGGCUCUGUUGGAUUUGUUGCUCGCCGCCUUCAAUUUGGUUCUUCUUCUUCUUCUUCUUUUUUGCAAAUAGUGGAAGCUGAAGAAGAACAAUCCAUUUCUGAUAAUGAGCUGUUGGAGGCAGUUUAUGAGAAUCUCUUGGAAGUUAUUGUUUCCCAUCAAGCCGAGUCCUCUCUUGGUCAGCUAUCAAGCUCUCAAAGUGAUUCUUCUGAUUGUAGUACCCCUCCUACUUCGUUUGUGAGUGGGGUCGCUCAAACUUGCCCUGCUGCGCCAGUCAAGCCGUUGAGAAAAUUGCGAAAUCUGGACAUGGGUUUGUGCAGAAAGCUUGAGUUCUGAAUAUUGAUGCACUUCUAAUUAGCUUCCAAUCAUUGCAUAGAAGAAUGUAGAUCCUGGAGAAAAUGGACUGAUGCAAACAAACAGAAGAAAGUGUAGGGUCCAAAUGAUGCUUCCAUUUGCAGUGCAUUGAAAUGAGAAAUGUUGGCAAGAAGAACUCAGAAUGAGGGAUUGGUGGCAGUCAGAUUCUCUUGGCCUAGGAAUGGGUGUUGCUUUCUUCUCUUGUGCAGGCAGAAAGUGGAAACUGUCAACAAUGGGUAUACUUACAGUCUUAAAAGUACAUAAAUUUUUUAGAUUUGAUUUAGUCUUAACUUUUUAUCUAGUUGAUAGUUGGAUAAGCUCAGUUUCACUUUAAAGUUUAAAUUUCAUUAAAUUAAAUAUUGACUCCAAAUAAAAUACCUGAAGUUGGUUUAAUAUCGAAAAAAGUAAAACUUUGUGGGAAUGGAUUCAAAUUCCGAUUUUCCAUGGUGAUCAUCUACCUACAAUAUGUGUCAUGAACCAAUGAAAAGUCCUACGAGUUUUAUGACAUCAAUAUACCAUGGAUGUGAAAUGUUUCUUUUCCAAAAAAAAUAUACUAUAGAUGGAAACUACGAGACUAAUAUCAUUUUUAUAUUGAUUUUUUAUUUUAAAGAGAAGAUUUGUAACCUAAUUAUAUGGGAUUUUGUUGCUUUGACGAGAUACUUAUUUUUUUCAAUAGUUUAUUAUUGAAUGUGUUAGUUGGAUCUGGGUAUCCGAUGUUUUUUUAUUCAUUUGACUUUGUGGUUCAUUUAGAAUAUUUUGUGUAUGUAAGAUUUGGAUCAUUAAGGUGAUUUGUUGGUUCAAUUGGAACCCAAUUAUUCA
Molecule: non-coding RNA, 1828 nt
Organism: Benincasa hispida (wax gourd)
Lineage: Eukaryota; Viridiplantae; Streptophyta; Magnoliopsida; Cucurbitales; Cucurbitaceae
Source: RefSeq, a predicted model, not a curated record